This 922-nucleotide non-coding RNA is filed under the name Allobates sp. Ica. RNAcentral describes it as "partial 12S ribosomal RNA". It matches the Rfam family "Bacterial small subunit ribosomal RNA". The record is from RNAcentral. Lineage: Eukaryota; Metazoa; Chordata; Amphibia; Anura; Aromobatidae.
GUUUGGUCCUAGCCUGAAAUCAGUUAUUAAUUAUAUUACACAUGCAAGUCUCCGCACCCCUGUGAGAACGCCCUUAAAUCCCCCUUAGGGAUUAGGAGCUGGUAUCAGGAUCAUAAUUUGCCCAAGACACCUAGCCUCGCCACACCCACAAGGGAACUCAGCAGUGAUUAACAUUGACUAUAAGCGACAGCUUGAUUCAGUUAAAUUUACAGAGCCGGCCAAUUUGGUGCCAGCCGCCGCGGUUACACCAGAAGCUCAAACUGAUUACUAUCGGCGUAAAGCGUGAUUAAAGCAACUAACUUACUGGAAUUAAAUUAAAACUGAGCCGUGACACGCCUGUUAUUUAAGAAAACCACAAACGAAAGCUAUUCCAACUAAAUCCACUUGAACUCACGACAACUGAGACACAAACUGGGAUUAGAUACCCCACUAUGCUCAGUCGUAAACUUUAAAUUACAACUCACUCGCCCGGGAACUACGAGCUAAGCUUAAAACCCAAAGGACUUGACGGUACCCCACAUCCACCUAGAGGAGCCUGUCCUAUAAUCGAUAAUCCACGUUUAACCUCACCAUUUUUAGCUUACUCAGCCUGUAUACCUCCGUCGUCAGCUUACCACGUGAGCGCCAGUGAGCUUAAUGUCUAUUCAACAAUACGUCAGGUCAAGGUGCAACUUAUGAAAUGGGAAGAGAUGGGCUACACUCUCUAAUUUAGAAUACACGAAAAACUACUUAUGAAAUCUAGUCAGAAGGCGGAUUUAGCAGUAAACGGGAACCAGAAGGUCCCUUUUAAUUUGGCACUGGGGUGUGUACACACCGCCCGUCACCCUCCUCGAAUGCUUUAGAACAGUUUUUAACAAAAUCUAGCUUUUCAAGAAGAGGUAAGUCGUAACAUGGUAAGUAUACCGGAAGGUAUGCUUGGAAU